GCAGAGAGGGCUAAAAGGCGUUCAAGUAUUUCUAGAAAAGCUGUCAAUAAGGAGCAUGGACAAUCUGUGUUUGACCAACCUAAUAUGGCAAGUGUCAUGACAAACACAGCAGCUGCAUUUGUGGGAGGAAAGAGAAAAUGGACAGAAACAAUAGACUUAAAAAGAGAAUCCGAUGAGGACACCACAACCACACAGGUAUGUAAAGUGUACAUACUUGGAAUGUACAAAAAGUGAUAUUACUUUCUUUCCAGAAAAUUUGGAUUUAUACCUUUAAAAACCAGGUGUAUCUUAAAACAACAGAAUUUUUAUGUAAGGUUUCAGCCCCGCGUUCAAUAGGCAAAACGUUACGGAACAUUCGGAACGUUUUGUCUGUUGGACGACCCGUUUCCUCGUAACGCUACGAUAAACCGCGAACAGUCUGACGAGGUUGCACGCGAAGUGACCAAGAUGGCGGACGAUGCAUCAGUGUCAUCAGUCGGUACAUUUUACAGGUGCUCCGUGUGUGGCAUCUUCUUUGCAACGAUGGAAGCUUUUGUUGAGCAUGAGUGUGGUGAGUCCUGAAAACUUUGGAAGUACUUAUACAAUGGCGGUAACUUGAUAUUACCUAUGAACCCAACGAAAUCGCGGUUGACACAUGCCGCCAUUAUGGCCAAGUAAACAAAUGUCUUGUUAUAUAGGAUUCAGCACUCUACUUUGCAGCACCAAUUAGAUGUAAUCAUGCUAUGUCUGCAUUCUACACGGUCAGUGUUCCCAAAUAUGUUCAUGUUGCAAUAUGUUUCAGCUUCAACUACUGAGAAAACUGCAACACCGACUGAAAUCAGUGCGAUUGACGAACUCGGGACUGACACUGACAACGUGGAGAAUGAAGUGCACAGUAAGUGAUUCAGAAGGAAAAUGCAAUGGACAUAAUAGACUACAUACAUUGCAGUCAGAGUAAAUAUUGUUUGCAAAUAGAUUACGUUUAUAUCAGUUUAAGACGGUUAAAAAGAACAACAAACAAGUUAUUUGUAAAUACUGCUCGACAGAAGGAGAUCAAGUAAAAUAUAGAUCUAGUUCCCUAUACAUGUCGCACAGUAUUAAUCUAGUAUACUACUUCUUUACAGCUCCUACCCACUGCACAUUGGGGUACUCUGCGAUCCUCCUCCUAAUUGAAACCUACAGAGAUCUUCAAUAUAUUUUCAAAUCUUCUGCCUAAAAAACGAUUGAUGCUUGGA
Molecule: long non-coding RNA, 1214 nt
Organism: Haliotis rubra (blacklip abalone)
Lineage: Eukaryota; Metazoa; Mollusca; Gastropoda; Lepetellida; Haliotidae
Exons: 3
Source: RefSeq, a predicted model, not a curated record